AUAUAAGGUCUGACCUGCCCACUGAUUUUUUUGAAGGGCCGCAGUAAUUUGACUGUGCAAAGGUAGCAUAAUCAUUAGUUUUUUAAUUAAAAGCUUGUAUGAAGGGUUGGACGAGGUAAAAUCUGUCUCUAUUUAAAUUAUUAUAGAAUUUAAUUUUUAAGUUAAAAAGCUUAAAUUUAUUUAAAAGACGAGAAGACCCUAUAGAUCUUUAUAUAAAUUUUAAUAGUUUUAAUUAAGAAUAUGUUAUUUAUUAUUAUUAUUUAUAUUUUAUUGGGGUAAUAAAAAGAUUUAAUAAAUUCUUUUUUUAUUUGAACAUUAAUUUAUGAUUAAAUGAUCCAAUAUUAUUGAUUAAAAGAUUAAGUUACCUUAGGGAUAACAGCGUAAUUUUUUUAGAGAGUUCAUAUCGAUAAAAAAGUUUGCGACCUCGAUGUUGGAUUAAAAAUUAUCUUAGGUGCAGAAGUUUAAGAUUUUGGUCUGUUCGACCAUUAAAUUUUUACAUGAUCUGAGUUCAGACCGGA
Molecule: ribosomal RNA, 518 nt
Filed under: Bunites distigma
Lineage: Eukaryota; Metazoa; Arthropoda; Insecta; Coleoptera; Dytiscidae
Description: partial 16S ribosomal RNA
Rfam family: Bacterial large subunit ribosomal RNA
Source: RNAcentral